RNAcentral lists this ribosomal RNA (492 nucleotides) under uncultured bacterium. Its description in RNAcentral is "partial 16S ribosomal RNA". It matches the Rfam family "Bacterial small subunit ribosomal RNA", at positions 29 to 507 of the family's 1533-position model. The record is from RNAcentral.
AGUGAACGCUGGCGGUAGGCCUAACACAUGCAGGUCGAACGGCAGCACAGUAAGAGCUUGCUCUUACGGGUGGCGAGUGGCGGACGGGUGAGGAAUACAUCGGAAUCUACUUUUUCGUGGGGGAUAACGUAGGGAAACUUACGCUAAUACCGCAUACGACCUACGGGUGAAAGCAGGGGAUCUUCGGACCUUGCGCGAUUGAAUGAGCCGAUGUCGGAUUAGCUAGUUGGCGGGGUAAAGGCCCACCAAGGCGACGAUCCGUAGCUGGUCUGAGAGGAUGAUCAGCUACACUGGAACUGAGACACGGUCCAGACUCCUACGGGAGGCAGCAGUGGGGAAUAUUGGACAAUGGGCGCAAGCCUGAUCCAGCCAUACCGCGUGGGUGAAGAAGGCCUUCGGGUUGUAAAGCCCUUUUGUUGGGAAAGAAAAGCAGCAGGUUAAUACCCCGCUGUUCUGACGGUACCCAAAGAAUAAGCACCGGCUAACUUCGUG